CGCCGGCAAGACGCCUCUCCGGUUACCCGCGCCUCGGAAAAAAGGGGCGGUUGGUGGGCCCUCCAUUGUCCAGGAUUAAGGGAGCCAUGAGGUAAGGGGAUCUAGGUGCUCAAGGUGUUUCCCUGAGAACUUAGGAAGGUGGGUCGCGGGGAGUCGGAGGACCCAGGGCGGUGUGUCCCGGGCCUGCGCCCCCAGGCCCGGGGGAGUAGGGUGGUCCGAGGCUGGGAGGCGGGCCGGGCCGGGCUGGAGUGGGGAGGCGGGUGCGGGAGUCCGGCCUGGAGGGCUGAGGAGAGGGAGGGUCCCCGGGGCCCGGAGUAGCGCCCGCCGUCUGGACUGAGGCGGCCGGGACGUGCCCUGUAAAUGCACGCGCGAAGCCCAGGUGAGCGGCCGCCGCAGCCCCACGGUUCCUUCUCGCGGGGAGCUGGCGCGCCGUGGUGGAGGUCUCUGCCGUGAGCUGAAAUGACUCUGUUUUCAGGGGUGACCGAGGCCGUGGUCGCGGUGGGCGCUUUGGUUCCAGAGGGGGACCCGGAGGAGGGUGAGUGCCCGCCUGGACAUCCCCGCACUUGCCAGUGCCUGUCGUCGGGGUGGGGGUUGGAGGUGGCCCCGGCUGCCCCCCUGCUGGAGGCAGACCCCUUCUCAGAACCUGCCCGUGCGGGUGCCCUCUGCCUGAUUUCUGAUUGGACUGUUUUUCUUGUUUUAGGUUCAGGCCCUUCGUGCCACAUAUCCCAUUCGAUUUCUAUUUGGUGAGUUCUUGAGUUAAUAUCAGUUUCCUGGUCAUUGUCACUUAUACAUGUAGGUGGUUGGAGUAGGGAUUCGUGAAUGAUUUGGGGUUUUAAAGAUUUUUACUUAUGUGUUUAUUUACUUUUGGCACCUUAAGGCCUCAAGCCUACCAAGCAAACUCUCGACUCUGAGCCCCUGAUUUUAUUACAAUUAAUACAGAUUAGUAGUACAUAUAAAUGGUUCCGUGUGAUACUUCAAUACAUGUAUACAGCAUGCACUGAUGAAAUCCAGCCUUCUUUGUCCACUCUGCCCCUCUGUAGAGUUGGAGUUUUGAGUCAACUGUGUCAUUUUACGUACCAAAACAAUGUAAGCAAAGCCACUUGCAGUGGUGCAUACCUAUAAACCCAGCUACUAAGGAGCCUGAGGUAGUAGGAUUCAAAAUUUGAGGCCAGCCUUGGCAACUUAGUGACACCCUGUUUUAAAAUAGAGUUCUGGGGAUGCAGUUCAAUGGUAGAGUGCCAGUGGUUUCAAUCCCCUGUACUAAAAAAAAAAUGUAAGCAGGGUAAGGAAGAUGAUUUCUUGCCUACAUAGUUGAAAUCCGUCCUAAACAAUUGUAUCUCUGGCUUAGUGUUUUUUUUUUUGUUUUGUUUUUUUGUUUUUUUAAUACAAAGGUAGUGAGAGCUUAAAUUAUGGCUCUUCUAUUCUUGUUUGAACAUGUUGAUUGAAAACAAGUAGAAUUAUCUGCUUUUAAUUUUUUUUCUAUCAUAACAGCAAAAAAUAUCUGUUGUAUCUUAUUUUUGGUAAAAGGUAUGUUGUUUGUUUUUCUCUUAGUGUGAAAUGGCCUUCCCUCGAGUCAAGCCAGCACCUGAUGAAACUUCCUUCAGUGAAGCCUUGCUGAAGAGGAAUCAGGACCUUGCUCCCAAUUCUGCUGAACAGGUGUGUUCUUUUGGCUUUCUUUCUGAGAUUUCACUAAAAACAGAAAAGUGACUAUUAUAGUUAAGAAGAGUGUUAUGUGGGCUGAUGGUGUAGCUCAGUGGUAGAGCACUUAACCUAGCAUGUGUGAGGCUCUGGGUUUGAUCACCAGCAAGAACCUAAACUCCACAGAAGGUUUACUUGUCCUCUAUAUAGAGAGUUAAAGUGCUAGGUGAAUAUAUGAGUGGUUAUGUGGCAUCAUAUUUUCAUUGGGGAAUCUAUUAUGGAUUAAAUAGUUGUUCUUUUCUGAUAUAUUCAAGGCCAGAAGGGGGAAGUGUUUUUAGACCCCUAUUGCAUGAGUUUGUAUAGAAGAGAUUAGGGAAAAAUGUUCCCCUAACCUCAAGUAACUCUUGAGAAGUUACUUGUGAUUUUUGACUUUAGGGUAUUUUUGUUUUGUGAUGUUUUUUAGGCCUCAAUCCUUUCUCUGGUGACAAAAAUAAAUAAUGUGAUCGACAAUUUGAUUGUGGCUCCAGGGACAUUUGAAGUGGUGAGUUGAUGGCUUAGUUCUAAGAUAGGGCAGCCUUGUUAAGAGGAAUUUUCAUUGGCUUCUGUCUCUUUACCUGUUCCACAUUUAACUUUAAAUGGAAAAGUAUAGACUUCUGAAAUUUCCCUGCAAUACUGUUGUUGGAGGCAAGAUUUUUAUCAUUAUUAUCAGCUAUCAUUAUUAUCUGUAGCCACGUUGUAUAGCCAUGCUUUCAUGCUUUUGAGAUAUGAAUUUAUCACUGCUGCAUUUAAAUGUGGGAAAUAAGAAGUUGUGUCUUAAGAGUUCUGAGAGAAGGGCUGGGGAUGUGGCUCAAGCGGUAGCACACUCGCCUCGCAUGCGUGCGGCCCGGAUUUGAUUCUCAGCACCACAUACAAAGGUGUUGUGUCCGCCGAAAACUAAUAAAUAUAUAUUAAAAAAAAAAAAAAAAAAAAGAGUUCUGAGAGCAGCCCGUCACCCGCCUAUAAUCCCAGCGGCUUGGGAGGCUGAGACAGGAGAAUCUCAAGUUCAAAGCCACCCUCAGCAACUGCAAGGCACUAAGCAACUCAGUGAGACCCUGUCUCUAAAUAAAAGAGAGAUCUGAGAGGAGCUUGGCACCUUUUUUCUUCUAAUUUUUUCCCCCUGAAAUCCUUUUUCCAAUAGCAAAUUGAAGAAGUCCGACAGGUAGGAUCAUAUAAAAAGGGAACAAUGACUACAGGACACAACGUAGCUGACCUGGUGGUAAUACUAAAGAUUCUGCCAACAUGUGAGUAUACCUCUUUUUCUCUCUUUUCUGGUGCUAGGUGUCAAACCCAGGCCCCUGAGCUUGGCAGGCGAGUGCUCUACUGCUGGGCUACAUCCCUUAGCCCCCAGUUCAUCUUUCUGACCGAGGAAAACAAUGUAAUAGUUUGAUUUGGGGCCUAGGGAUUUUUAAAGGAGAGAGAGAGAGAGAGAUAGAGAGAUGUGUGUGUGUGUGGAACAUAAAUAGGAAAUUUAAUUUUUUAAGUUACUGGAUUAUAAGGGACUGUUAGGUCAGCUUAUUGUCACUGUGAUGAAAAUACUUGAUAAGAACAACUUAGUGGAGGAAAAGUGUGAGGCUUUCAGUUUCAGAGAUUUGAGUCUAUGGUUGGCCUAUUCCAUUGUUCUGGCCUGAGGUGAGGCCAAAUAUGAUGGAAGGGUAUGGGAGGAAAAAGCUAUUAGCCCAUGGCUGCUGGGAAGCAGAGACAGCAGUGAGGGACAAGAUAAAGUCCAAAGCAGAUCCUCAGUGACCUACUUCCUCUAGCCAUGCCUCACAUACCUAGUUAUCACUCAGAAGUCCAUUUAGAUUAUAAUCCAUCAAAUGAAUUAGUCUACUGACAAAGCUUCAGCUCUCAUAAUCCAAUCGUUCCACCUCUCACCAUUCUUGCAUUGCCUAACACAUGAGCUUUUUGGGAGAUACCUCAUAUCCAAACCAUAAAAAGACAGACUCUGUAAUGUGUGUCUGAAAGAAUGUAUGCCCAGUACUCUGGGACUGUGUUUCUCUCUUGGAUAUUUUGCUCCUAAGGGAAUUAUUAGCACUGCCUAGAGAUGUUUUUGGUUGUCACAGCUAAGGGAUACUCCUGGCAUCAAAAGGGGCUAAAGGCUGGGAAUGGUGCUAAACAUCCUACAGUGCACAGGAUUAACCAAUCCAGAUAUUAUAAGUGCCACUGACCUGAAAAACUCAGCUUUAGCUCAGUGGCAGAGUACCUGCCUAGCACUUGUGAGGCACUGGGUUUGAUCCUUAGCAUUGCGUAGAAAAAUAAACAAAAAUAGAUAAAUGCAUGGCAUGCUGUCCAUCUACCACUACAAAAGAAAAAAAAAAUUUAAGUUAUUAAAAAAAUCUAACGAUUUUAGUAUGGAAAAAAGAUGUGAGUAUAGGAAGUGUCCUAUUCCUGAACCUUCCAGUUUCUGUGUCUAGGACUUAGCUUUCCUUUGUAAAAGUAUUCUGUUACACUUGUUCCACACUUGAAUGUGGGGCAGAAAUUAUGGUACUAAGUAUCUCAGAGAUAUAUAGGAAGUCUACAUAAAUAGAUGAUUUAUAAUGGUAUUUUUUCUCCCUCAAUCUAGUGGAAGCUGUUGCUGCCCUGGGGAACAAAGUCGUGGAAAGUUUAAGAGCACAGGAUCCAUCUGAAGGUUUGAAUUUAUUGCUUAAUAUAUAUUGAGUGGCAGUAGGAGCCAGGUCCUGUAAUCAUACUUUCAACAAAAUUAGGUCAGACUAGAUUGAGUAAAUGCAGUUUCAUGUUGUAGGAGUUUUUGGAAGGGGUUUGAAAUUCCAUUUUAUCUCCUUUCUAAAGCUCUGUAUUUUGAAUCCUUAGUCUGAACUCUGGUUUUUAAAUGCCCACCUGUUUCCCACAGGAAUGAUUUAACUUUGAUCAUCUGAUGAAAAUGUGAAUUACAACUUUUGAUUAUUUUGUUCUUUUAGUUUUGACCAUGCUGACCAAUGAAACUGGUUUUGAAAUCAGUUCUUCUGAUGCUACAGUGAAGAUUCUCAUUACGACAGUGCCACCCAAUCUCCGAAAACUGGACCCGGAACUCCACUGUUAGUCCUUUUUUCCAUUGCUGAAAAGUGUGGGGGAAAUAAAAUGCAUGGUAUCUUUGCUGAGUUUUUUUAUUUCAUAGGAAGCUUUCUGGAAAUUGAAGGACUUAAGUUUACCCUGUACUUUGGAAAUAACUUUACAAGCUUCCUAGUGAAAUUUUCAAAGAUAGGAUAGCCAGGAAGAAAAUUUGGAACAAUUAAAAAGGAUGGUGGAAAUAUUUGUGAAGAAAGGAGGAUAGAUUUUUGGAGAAUAUCAGAUCUUGCAUGCUUCUAGAUUUAGUUUGGAAUAGGUGUAAUAAUUUUGGAAUAAGUGACUUGCUGAUCUGAGGAACAUGAGAUGGUUUAACAAAAUUGUUAAAAAUUAGCUUGCUUCUCCUUCUAAGUUUCUGAACCAUGGUGGUGGCAGGACUGGAUUGCUUGCUUAAUACCAGGAUUGUUUCACGUUGGUCUGUCAUGCUUUAUCUAGUGGAUAUCAAGGUGUUGCAGAGUGCUUUAGCAGCCAUCCGACAUGCCCGCUGGUUCGAGGAAAAUGCUUCUCAGUCCACGUGAGUCGGUCUCUGGUCAUUUUCAGAUAACCUUUCUAACUGAAUAGCAGGAUUUCCCCAUACUUCCUCUGAUAGAACUGUUUUGGCCAUGAUCUGUUGGAUUUUCAUUUUUACUUUAAGCAAAUUAAGAUUGAAAGAAGAGCACAUGCGGUUUUAUAAAUAGUAUAGUCAGCUUCAACUCUACCUCAGGUGUGGAAAUGUGAUCUUAUUACCUUUUUUUGUGGGGUGGGCUACCAGGGAUUGAAUUCAGGGGCAUUUGAUACUAAGCCACAUCCCCAGCCCUAUUUUAUAUUUUAUUUAGAGACAGGGUCUCACAGAGUUGCUUAGUACCUCGCUUUUUCUGAGGCUGGCUUUGAACUCUAGAUCCUCCUGUCUCAGCCUCCAGAGUUAAUGGGAUUACAGGCGUGCACCAUUUUGCCCAGCAGUGAUGUUAACUACUUUUAAUCCUUGGAUCUCUUUUACAUUCAGAGUUAAAGUUCUCAUCAGACUGCUCAAGGACUUAAGGAUUCGUUUUCCUGGCUUUGAGCCCCUCACACCCUGGAUCCUUGACCUACUUGUAAGUAAACAAGGACAAUAGGAAUUCCUACGCAUUCAUAUUGGUAGUACUUACUGUGAAACCUACCAGAAUCUGAAAUUCAGUAAAGCUUAAAAAGAAAUUCAGUGGACAGGCGAUCUAGUAGAUUCAAAGUUUAUUAUUUCAUUGGGUUCUGGGAGUAUUUGAUUAAAUGAGUAGUUACUGAGUUACAGUGCCCCUUUUGUUUUUAUUACUGUUAUUUCAUUAUUGUGAUACUGGAAAGAAAUGAACAAAUGAGGACCAAUUUCAGAAUUUCUUCUGGAUGUGUUUUGGCUAGACUUUAAUGACUUAUUUUCCUUGUGAUGAUUUAUUCAAGUUUAAAUUUGCUUACCAGACUUACUCUUUUCUAGGGGCACUAUGCUGUGAUGAAUAACCCCACCAGACAGCCUUUGGCCCUAAAUGUGGCAUACAGGUACCACAUAUUUCUUUUCAGUUUGGGAUUGGUUAUAAGGUGGUAGUGGGGGUGUGUUAAUACUUCCCUAUGUUUCAGGCGUUGCUUGCAGAUUCUGGCUGCAGGACUGUUCCUUCCAGGAUCAGUGGGUAUCACUGACCCCUGUGAAAGUGGCAACUUCAGAGUACAUACGGUCAUGACCCUGGAACAGCAGGUAUUGGGUCAGUUAUGAAGUGGUCUAUUCUGAGAGGACCUAGGGAACAUGAUCUUUAGGGAUCAGGGUAUCUGGGGAUUUUCAAAGACUGUGGUCCUAAGAUUAAAAAGUUAUAUGCAUCUGUUUUCACAAGGGUGUGAGAGAAAGUACUGAUUUUCUUUGCUAAUUUACCCUCGCUUUGCUCUUCCUCAGGAUAUGGUCUGCUACACAGCUCAGACUCUGGUUCGAAUCCUCUCACACGGUGGCUUUAGGAAGAUCCUUGGCCAGGAGGGUGAUGCCAGCUGUGAGUACUGUGUGUGUGGGUCAGGGGUUUCUUCUGGUGCUCAGCAGGCUUUGUGUGGUGCUGUGACAUAACCCUGGGGCACUCCAAGGAGUUACGUCCCCAGCCCUUUCUUUUGAGACAGUCUUGCUGAAAUUGCAGGGGGUUAGCCAGUGCAUCCAUCUUACUCAGAUGACUUCAUGUUUCUGCUUCGUUCUGCUUGUUUGCUGGGGUAUUUGUUUGAAAGCACUUAUUUUUUUUAUUCUAGAUCUUGCUUCUGAAAUAUCUACCUGGGAUGGAGUGAUAGUGACACCUUCAGAAAAGGCUUACGAGAAGCCACCUGAGAAGAAGGAAGGAGAGGAAGAGGAGGAGAAUACAGAAGAACCACCUCAAGGAGAGGAAGAGGAAAGCAUGGAAACUCAAGAGUGAUCUUCCUUCCCUUCAGUCCCGUUCCUACUCAAGGGGAAGACCAGAUCCUAAGCUAUCUGCUACUGGGCUUUGUAUGGUGCAUUUCUGUGGAAUAGAGGAGACAUCAGGAAAGAAACUCUAUAGAAAGAUUUGUCAUUCCAUUGGUUUUGAUACUGGCCUAGCAGCCCAAAAUCUCCUGUUUAUAAAUCUAUGCCAUCCAUCUAUAAUGAAGCAGGAUACCAACAUUUCUUCCUUAUACUCCCAAAUCCCAACUCCUAAACACCCCACUCAACCAUUACUCUGUUGUUGAAAUGUGAACUGUUAGGUGUUUGAACUUUUUUUUUUUUCUAAGAAAAACGAUUAAAGUACUUCCUAGUAGGGCUCUUGGUUUUGUUUUUCCUUAGUAGGUGGUGGCCUCUUUUAUUUACUCUUUUUCAUUGGAAGUGAUACUGAGUCAUAAACACCAAGAUCGCAACUUGAAACAUCAGUAAAUGAGAAUACUGUUUAAGCAUUUAUUGAAUCAAAUGGUUCUAGCAGUACUGCUGUUGUAUUCAAGCCAGUGCAAUCAACAGAAGAGGGUGGACAGAGUUCAUUCAUCUUCUCUUUGUAAAUCCUCGUGUAAACAAAAGGAAAAAGAGAAGUCACAGGUAGAGGACAUGUUGCCUGGGUCCACUAUAACCAGACAUGUAACAAACGAAGCUCCAGCCUGAUUGGCGAGGCCUGAAAAAGAUGGGCGUUAACUAUGUAGUUAAGAAAAAAAACCUCAUUUCGUUCUUGGAAGGGAGCAAGAGCUGUAACGAAAGUUCCUCUGGGAACUUGAGUCUACUGCACGCAGGUUUCUUGGGUUCCCACGAAGUGAGAAAGUGCUUUAAAUAAACCGUUUAGGUGUCCCAAAGUCUGCAGAAAUUGUUCCCUGAAUCUUCUCGUGUGUUGAAACAAGGCAGCGGGGUAACAACUAUUUGUGCUGCUCAGUCCCCUGCCAUCUUGUUACUUGCUUGGGGAACCAGGGGGAUAAACUCCCGAGUCCAGCAUUGCCCUCCUGCGGGCUGUUUCCUUGGCAACGCUGUGGUUUAGCCGCCUCAGCCGCUCCUACAGGACACAGGAAGAGGUGGAACCUAGUGACUGCCCCUGUGAAAGGCUUUGGGGUUCAGCCAGCCAGGUGCUGGAAACACCUGAGGACGGUCCUGCGUCAAAGUUCACGUAGGAUGUCAAUGGCUGCAAGUGGAUAUUGAGCACUGAGUCUUACUGACGCUAGUUGACCACUCCCUUCCCCCCAAUUUUUAAAAAGUCGUGACUCAUUGUGUUGAGGACUUGAAGCAGGGACUUCGUUUACCUGGGCAUUCUGUAGGAUGUUGUUGACCAGAACAACCCGUCGCCGGGCGUUGAGCAGCUUCUUAACGUAGGGGUCGAGAUCCAAGGCCACCUUCUGGUCCUCGUUGAUGCGGCACAAUUCUGGGGACGGAAGAGCAACAGACGUCUGGCAGCUCACCUCCUGCUCUUAGGAAGGCGGAAUCGUCCCGUCCUUCCCCCACUUCCUUUCACUCCCUGUCCCAAGGGCCCCGACGUCCUGGGGCCAAGGGGCAGAGACCCGGCCGGGCACGGGGAACCGAAGGUCCUGCCUGGGUCCGCGGGCCGCCCACUCACCCGCGGCGAGGUUGUCGAUCUGCUCGCGGAGCUCCACCUGGCUCUCCCUGCAAAGGCCGCAAGGCCGCACGGUCAGCGCGCCCGCCGCCCACGUUUCCCCUGUACCGGG
Molecule: long non-coding RNA, 8850 nt
Filed under: Marmota monax (woodchuck)
Lineage: Eukaryota; Metazoa; Chordata; Mammalia; Rodentia; Sciuridae
Source: RNAcentral